Molecule: ribosomal RNA, 470 nt
Filed under: uncultured bacterium
Lineage: Bacteria
Description: partial 16S ribosomal RNA
Rfam family: Bacterial small subunit ribosomal RNA
Source: RNAcentral
AACGAACGCUGGCGGCAUGCCUAAUACAUGCAAGUCGAACGAGAUCUUCGGAUCUAGUGGCGCACGGGUGCGUAACGCGUGGGAAUCUGCCCUUGGGUUCGGAAUAACUUCUGGAAACGGAAGCUAAUACCGGAUGAUGACGUAAGUCCAAAGAUUUAUCGCCCAAGGAUGAGCCCGCGUAGGAUUAGCUAGUUGGUGGGGUAAAGGCCCACCAAGGCGACGAUCCUUAGCUGGUCUGAGAGGAUGAUCAGCCACACUGGGACUGAGACACGGCCCAGACUGAGAGGGGAGGGAGCAGAAGAGAACAGUGAACGAUGGGGGAGAGCCGGAGCCGGCAGGGCGGGAUGGGGGAUGAGGUCCUGGGGGUUAAAAUGCUCUGUUGCGGGGGAAGAUAGGGAGAGAACCGGGGGAAUAAGCCGGGGCUAACGCCGGGCCAGAAGACGGAGAGGGCGAAAGAGAGCCCAUCUAAC